RNAcentral lists this transfer RNA (73 nucleotides) under Neoheterandria tridentiger. Its description in RNAcentral is "tRNA-Thr". It matches the Rfam family "tRNA". Rfam says of the family: Transfer RNA (tRNA) molecules are approximately 80 nucleotides in length. Lineage: Eukaryota; Metazoa; Chordata; Actinopteri; Cyprinodontiformes; Poeciliidae. The record is from RNAcentral.
GCAUUAGUAGCUCAGUCUUUAGAGCGUCGGUCUUGUAAACCGAAAGUCGAGGGUUUAAAUCCCCCCUUCUGCU